Molecule: ribosomal RNA, 253 nt
Filed under: uncultured bacterium
Lineage: Bacteria
Description: partial 16S ribosomal RNA
Rfam family: Bacterial small subunit ribosomal RNA
Source: RNAcentral
UACAGAGGUCUCAAGCGUUGGGCGGAAUCACUGGGCUUAAAGCGUGUGUAGGCGGCGGGCUAAAUACCUUGUGAAAUCCCACGGCUUAACUGUGGAACUGCUGGGUAUACUGGUUCGCUUGAGCGGUCUAGGGGCGAGCGGAACAAAUGGUGGAGCGGUGAAAUGCGUAGAUAUCAUUUGGAACGCCAACGGUGAAAACAGCUCGCUGGGGACCUGCUGACGCUGAGACACGAAAGCCAGGGGAGCGAACGGG